Molecule: small RNA, 122 nt
Filed under: Marmota monax (woodchuck)
Lineage: Eukaryota; Metazoa; Chordata; Mammalia; Rodentia; Sciuridae
Source: RNAcentral
GCUGGGUGUGGUGGCCACACCUGUCAUCCCAGUAACUCAGGAGGCUGAGGCAGGAGGAUUCCAAGUUAGAGGCCAGCCUCAGCAACUUAGGCCUUAAGUAACGUAGUGAGGCCCUGUCUCAA